UCUAGAACUCGAGAUAUGGGCUGAACACUGAACAGUGUCUGGGCUGCAGGACAGAUUUCGACUUCUCUGUUGUUGCUACAAUUUGAACUUGAAAAUUGUCCUUUUGAAUCUUGGACUCUCAUGAAAGUUUUAGGUCUAUGUUUGAGCUUUCUAUC
Molecule: microRNA precursor, 155 nt
Filed under: Populus trichocarpa (black cottonwood)
Lineage: Eukaryota; Viridiplantae; Streptophyta; Magnoliopsida; Malpighiales; Salicaceae
Description: MIR2912 microRNA precursor family
Rfam family: MIR2912 microRNA precursor family
Source: Rfam by way of RNAcentral